This 89-nucleotide transfer RNA is filed under the name Candidatus Roizmanbacteria bacterium CG10_big_fil_rev_8_21_14_0_10_45_7. Its description in RNAcentral is "tRNA-Leu". It matches the Rfam family "tRNA". From Rfam's summary of the family: Transfer RNA (tRNA) molecules are approximately 80 nucleotides in length. Their secondary structure includes four short double-helical elements and three loops (D, anti-codon, and T loops). The record is from RNAcentral. Lineage: Bacteria; Candidatus Roizmaniibacteriota.
GCCGCGGUGGCGGAAUUGGUAGACGCGCAGGUCUCAAAAACCUGUGAUGCUCAAACAUCGUGUGGGUUCGAUUCCCACCCGCGGCACCC